GCCAGCAGCCAUAUCACCCUGCAAAGCCCACUGAAGCUCAUCAGGUGUGAGCCUGGUCAGUACCUGGAUGGGAGACCUCCUGGGAAAAACUAAGGUUGCUGCUGGAA
This 107-nucleotide ribosomal RNA is filed under the name Lepisosteus oculatus (spotted gar). Lineage: Eukaryota; Metazoa; Chordata; Actinopteri; Semionotiformes; Lepisosteidae. The record is from RNAcentral.